RNAcentral lists this transfer RNA (73 nucleotides) under Candidatus Aenigmatarchaeota archaeon. RNAcentral describes it as "tRNA-Val". It matches the Rfam family "tRNA". From Rfam's summary of the family: Transfer RNA (tRNA) molecules are approximately 80 nucleotides in length. Their secondary structure includes four short double-helical elements and three loops (D, anti-codon, and T loops). The record is from RNAcentral. Lineage: Archaea; Nanobdellati; Candidatus Aenigmatarchaeota.
GGGCCUAUGGUCUAGUGGUUAGGACGUCGCGUUCACAUCGCGGAGAUCGCCGGUUCGAAUCCGGCUGGGCCCA